UACAAAGGAAUUGGACGGGGAGCACUACGAACGGGUGGAGCCUGCGGUUUAAUUGGACUCAACGCCGGAAAACUCACCGGGGGCGACAGCAAUAUGUAGGUCAAGCUAAAGACUUUACCAGAAUCGCUGAGAGGAGGUGCAUGGCCGUCGUCAGUUCGUACUGUGAAGCAUCCUGUUAAGUCAGGCAACGAGCGAGACCCGUGCCCACUGUUGCCAGCAUGUCCUUCGGGAUGAUGGGUACUCUGUGGGACCGCCGAUGCUAAAUCGGAGGAAGGUGCGGGCUACGGUAGGUCAGUAUGCCCCGAAUCUCCCGGGCUACACGCGGGCUACAAUGACUGGGACAAUGGGCUCCUACCCCGAAAGGGGAUGGUAAUCUCAUAAACCCAGCCUUAGUUCGGAUCGAGGGCUGUAACCCGCCCUCGUGAAGCUGGAAUCCGUAGUAAUCGCGUUUCAACAUAGCGCGGUGAAUACGUCCCUGCUCCUU
This 484-nucleotide ribosomal RNA is filed under the name uncultured Methanomethylovorans sp. Its description in RNAcentral is "bacterial SSU rRNA". It matches the Rfam family "Archaeal small subunit ribosomal RNA", at positions 858 to 1338 of the family's 1478-position model. Lineage: Archaea; Methanobacteriati; Methanobacteriota; Methanomicrobia; Methanosarcinales; Methanosarcinaceae. The record is from RNAcentral.